Magnolia sinica is the source of this 1042-nucleotide long non-coding RNA. RefSeq lists it as uncharacterized. The transcript has 5 exons. The record is from RefSeq and is a predicted model, not a curated record. NCBI's taxonomy places the organism in Eukaryota, Viridiplantae, Streptophyta, Magnoliopsida, Magnoliales, Magnoliaceae.
CAUUGGCAACUUAAGACAAAAAAAAUUCAUUGUAGAGUAGGUUCAACCUUUUCUUUCUUAAAACUUUCUUUUCCAUUUGUUCCUGUAAUUCAACGGGGUGUUGCAUGUUCAGGCCACACAUGUUGGAUCAGAGAGUGCUCUUUCUCAAAUUGUCUGACUUGUUGAAUCAUUGCAGAUAGCCAGAGCUCCUGUGCAAAAGUUUGCUGAUUGGAUCUCGAAGCACUUUGUGCCUUUUGACUUGUCUGGUUCAACCUUGAAAUCCAUGCAAAGAAUGGCAUCACCAAGUAUCACCUAGACGUGCUUACUCUACCUCUUCUUUGCAGCUUGCAAAGCAAGUUUUUGAGAUGGAUUCCUUGAGGACACGUAUGUUAAAAAAAGCUUUCAGUCUAAUUGAUAAUCGUGUUUUAUCCCUAUCAUUAUGCUCCUUUUGCUUCUAAUCUCAAGGAUCUAGAUCAGUUGAGCAUAAGCUUUGAACUCGGUUCUCCAUUCAAACCAUUCAAUCAGCUGAUGGGGGUUUUUCUAGCUGCAAGGCCGAAUGGGAUGGUUGGACUGAUUUCUUUUAACAGUACAUGCUUGUAAGGCCCCAUCAAAUGGAAACUUGUUAUCAAUAUUAUCGACGAUAUCGAUAUUGUUUUCAUAUCCCUGGCCAGCGAAACUUGUAGUGAUACCGAUACUUCGAACACUGGUCAUAACUUGAUUUUGCAGGUAUACUUGACUGCUGCAAUUUAAAAUUUCUUACUGCAAAAUGUGAUUUGUGCAUUUUAGUUUGCUGCCUAGGUUUAUUUGGUACUGAAAUGAUGAGAUUUUAUUUUGUUCACUUCCAUCAGGUUAUUUGGAGCAGAUAAGGAGUGGACUCUCUCAAAGUAAUUCAAACAAAGAAACUUCGAACUUACAAAACGCCUCGCCUCUCUCAACAAGCCAGAGAUCCCAGUUCUGCUGCUUGGUCAUGCAUGAUGACAUGCUCUGUGGUUUGGGUCAUGCAUCAUGCUUGCUUCACAAUGAGUAGAGCAUGGACGAUUUUUUAUUUAUUUUUCAUGUAUUC